Molecule: RNA transcript, 9142 nt
Organism: Sapajus apella (tufted capuchin)
Lineage: Eukaryota; Metazoa; Chordata; Mammalia; Primates; Cebidae
Gene: TRPM6
Gene name: transient receptor potential cation channel subfamily M member 6
Exons: 41
Source: RefSeq, a predicted model, not a curated record
CAGCGCCGGUUCCAAGAGCUGGGAUGCGGCUGUAGCGGAGUUGGUGUCCGAGUGGAAACCUAGUGAGGGUCGGGGGUUCCGCUUGGGGCGGUGGGAAACGCUCCGGAAGAGGAGGCAGCUCUGUGAUUCCGCUCCGAGCCAGCGGGAAAGGAGUUGGGAGGUGGCUUGAGCCGAGAACCGGGAGGGGAGAAGGUGCAUUUCUGAGCCGCCAGGGGCGCGGAUCGCAGACUGGGACCCUGACAAGCCAGGGGUCGCGGCUUUCCGGGACGGCUGGAGAAGUGCCCAGACUGCAGCCCCUCCGCGGCCGUGCGCGUCCGCGUGCGCCGCGUGCUGGAGUCCCGGAGCGAUGACAGCGUUGGUCACGUCCCAGAAAUCCUGGAUUGAAGGAGUAUUUGACAAGAGAGAAUGUAGCACAGUCAUACCCAGCUCAAAAAAUCCUCACAGAUGUACCCCAGUAUGCCAGGUCUGCCAGAAUUUAAUCAGGUGUUCCUGUGGCCGACUGAUUGGAGAUCAUGCUGGGAUAGAUUAUGCCUGGACCAUCUCAGCUGCUCAGGGUAAAGAAAGUGAACAAUGGUCUGUUGAAAAGCACACAACGAAAAGCCCGACAGAUACUUUUGGCACGAUUAAUUUCCAAGAUGGAGAGCACACCUACCAUGCCAAGUAUAUUCGAACUUCUUAUGAUACAAAAUUGGAUCAUCUGUUACAUUUAAUGUUGAAAGAGUGGAAAAUGGAACGGCCCAAGCUGGUGAUCUCGGUACAUGGGGGCAUCCAGAACUUUACGAUGCCCUCUAAACUUAAAGAGAUUUUCAGCCAAGGUUUGAUUAAAGCUGCAGAGACAACAGGAGCAUGGAUAAUAACUGAAGGCAUCAAUACAGGAGUGUCCAAGCAUGUUGGGGAUGCCUUGAAAUCCCAUUCCUCUCAUUCCUUGAGAAAAAUCUGGACAGUUGGAAUCCCUCCUUGGGGUGUCAUUGAGAACCAGAGAGACCUUAUUGGAAAAGAUGUGGUGUGCCUGUACCAGACUCUGGGUAACCCCCUCAGCAAGCUCACAACACUCAACAGCAUGCACUCACACUUCAUCCUGUCUGAUGAUGGGACCGUGGGCAAGUAUGGAAAUGAAAUGAAGCUCAGAAGGAACCUGGAGAAGUACCUCUCUCUGCAGAAAAUACACUGCUGCUCAAGACAAGGCGUGCCCGUGGUGGGGCUGGUGGUGGAAGGCGGUCCCAACGUCAUCCUGUCAGUGUGGGAGACUGUCAAGGACAAGGACCCGGUGGUGGUGUGUGAGGGCACAGGCAGGGCAGCCGACCUCCUGGCCUUCACACACAAACACCUGGCAGAUGAAGGGAUGCUGCGUCCUCAGGUAAAAGAAGAGAUCAUCUGCAUGGUUCAGAACACUUUCAACUUUAGUCUUAAGGAGUCCAAGCACCUUUUCCAAAUUCUAAUGGAGUGUAUGGUUCACAGGGAUUGUAUUACCAUAUUUGAUGCUGACUCUGAAGAGCAGCAAGACCUCGACUUAGCAGUCCUCACAGCUUUGCUGAAGGGCACAAAUUUAUCAUCAUCAGAGCAACUAAAUCUGGCGAUGGCUUGGGACAGAGUAGACAUUGCCAAGAAACAUAUCCUAAUUUAUGGACAACACUGGAAGCCUGGUGCCCUGGAACAAGCAAUGUUAGAUGCUUUAGUGAUGGAUAGAGUGGAUUUUGUGAAGCUCUUAAUAGAAUAUGGAGUGAACCUCCAUCGCUUUCUUACCAUCCCUCGACUGGAAGAGCUCUACAAUACAAAACAAGGACCUACUAAUACACUGUUGCAUCAUCUCGUCCAAGAUGUGAAACAGCAUACUCUUCUAUCCGGCUACCGAAUAACCUUGAUUGACAUUGGAUUGGUAGUAGAAUACCUCAUUGGUAGAGCAUAUCGCAGCAGCUACACUAGAAAACAUUUCAGAGCCCUCUACAACAACCUCUACAGAAAACAUAAGAGAGUGACCAGCUCUGUUCAAAACCCUUCCCAGCACCGGAGACGCUCCUCAGAAAACAGAAAUGAAUCUGCAGAAAGUACGUUGCACUCUCAGUUCAUUAGAACUGCACAGCCAUACAAAUUCAAGGAAAAGUCUGUAGUCCUUCAUAAAUCAAGGAAGAAGUCAAAAGAACAAAAUGUAUCAGAUGACCCUGAGUCUACUGACUUUAUUUACCCUUACAAUGACCUGCUGGUUUGGGCCGUGCUGAUGAAAAGGCAGAAGAUGGCCAUGUUCUUCUGGCAGCAUGGAGAGGAGGCCACGGUGAAAGCAGUGAUUGCGUGUAUUCUCUACCGGGCAAUGGCCCAUGAGGCUAAGGAGAGUCACAUGGUGGAUGAUGCCUCAGAAGAGUUGAAGAAUUACUCAAAGCAGUUUGGCCAGCUGGCUCUGGACCUGCUGGAGACAGCAUUCAAGCAGAAUGAGCGCAUGGCCAUGACACUGCUGACCUACGAACUCAGGAACUGGAGCCAUUCGACCUGCCUGAAACUGGCCGUGUCAGGAGGAUUACGACCCUUUGUUUCACAUACUUGUACCCAAAAGCUACUGACGGACAUGUGGAUGGGGCGCCUAAAAAUGAGGAAAAACUCUUGGUUUAAGAUCAUUAUAAGCAUUAUUUUACCCCCCACCAUUUUGACCUUGGAAUUUAAAAGCAAAGCUGAGAUGUCACAUGUUCCCCAGUCCCAGGACUUCCAAUUUAUGUGGUAUUACAGUGACCAGAAUGCCAGCAGUUCCAAAGAAAGUCCUUCUGUGAAAGAGUAUGAUUUGGAAAGAGGUCAUGAUGAGAAACUGGAUGAAAAUCAGCAUUUUGAUUUUGAAAGUGGGCCCCCAAACCUUCCAUGGACCAGGAAAGUCUAUGAGUUCUACAAUGCUCCAAUUGUCAAGUUUUGGUUUUACACGAUGGCGUAUUUGGCAUUCCUCAUGCUGUUCACUUACACCGUGUUGGUGGAGAUGCAACCCCAGCCCAGCGUGCAGGAGUGGCUUGUCAGCAUUUACAUCUUCACCAAUGCUAUUGAAAGGGUCAGGGAGAUCUGUAUUUCAGAACCUGGAAAGUUUACUCAAAAGGUGAGGGUAUGGAUUAGUGAGUACUGGAACUUAGUAGAAACUGUGGCCAUUGGCCUGUUUUCAGCUGGCUUCGUCCUUCGAUGGGGUGACCCUCCUUUUCACACAGCGGGAAGACUGAUCUACUGCAUAGACAUCAUAUUCUGGUUCUCACGACUCCUAGACUUUUUUGCUGUGAAUCAACAUACAGGUCCAUAUGUGACCAUGAUUGCAAAAAUGACAGCAAACAUGUUUUAUAUUGUGAUCAUAAUGGCCAUAGUCCUGCUGAGCUUUGGAGUGGCACGCAAGGCCAUCCUUUCACCAGAGGAGCCACCAUCUUGGAGCCUCGCUCGAGAUAUUAUAUUUCAGCCAUACUGGAUGAUAUAUGGAGAAGUCUAUGCUGACCACAUAGACGUUUGUUCAAGCAAGCCAUCCUGCCCUCCUGGUUCUUUUCUUACGCCAUUCUUGCAAGCUGUCUACCUCUUUGUGCAGUAUAUCAUCAUGGUGAACCUGUUGAUUGCUUUCUUCAACAAUGUUUACUUAGAUAUGAAAUCCAUUUCAAAUAACCUGUGGAAAUACAACCGCUAUCGCUACAUCAUGACCUACCACGAGAAGCCCUGGCUGCCCCCACCUCUCAUCCUGCUGAGCCACAUGGGCCUCCUCCUCCGCCGCCUGUGCUGUCGCCGAGCUCCUCACGACCAAGAAGAGGGUGACGUUGUAUUAAAACUCUACCUGAGUAAGGAGGAUCUGAAAAAACUUCAUGAUUUUGAGGAGCAGUGUGUGGAAAAAUACUUCCAUGAGAAGAUGGAAAAUGUGAAUUGUAGUUGUGAGGAGCGAAUCCGAGUGACAUCAGAAAGGGUUACAGAGAUGUACUUCCAACUGAAAGAAAUGAAUGAAAAGGUGACUUUUAUAAAGGACUCCUUACUGUCUUUGGACAGCCAGGUGGGACACCUGCAGGAUCUCUCUGCCCUGACUGUGGAUACCCUAAAAGUCCUUUCUGCUGUUGACACUUUGCAAGAGGAUGAGGCUCUCCUGGCCAAGAGAAAGCAUUCUACUUGCAGAAAACUUCCCCACAGCUGGAGCAAUGUCAUCUGUGCAGAGGUUCUAGGCAGCAUGGAGAUCGCUGGGGAGAAGAAAUUCCAGUAUUAUAGCAUGCCCCCUUCUUUGCUGCGGAGCCUGGCCAGAGGCUGGCAUCCCGGAGGAGUGCAGAGGGGGGCUCUUCUUGAGAUCACAGACAGUAAAAGAGACGCUUCAAAUGUAAGAAAUGACCAGGAAAAGCAAGAAACAGAAAGUAGUAUAGUUGCUUCCGUGGUGUCUCCUAACACACAAGCACACUCAAAGUAUGGCCAGUUUCUUCUGGUCCCUUCUAAUCUAAAGCAAGUUCCUUUUUCAGCAGAAACUGUCUUGCCUCUAUCCAGACCCUCUGUGGAAACAAGUACAGAUGUGCUGGCAAAUGAACAGGACGUCCAGACUGAGGUUAUUGUUCAUCUGACUGGGCAGACCCCAAUUGUCUCCAACCAGGCAUCAGUGGCUAAACCCAAGGAGCAGCAUGAGCCAACUGCUCACUUACUGGAUGGACAAGACAAGGUGGUAGCACUCAAUGUGCUAUCCGCUUUGAGUUGCACACCUGAACCCAUGGCAGUGACCUCCUCUCCUUCCCAAGCCAAGAUCAUGCAAACCGGAGGUGGAUAUGUAAACUGGGCAUUUUCAGAAGGUGAUGAAACUGGUGUGUUUAGCAUCAAGAAAAAAUGGCAAACUUGCUUGCCCUCCACUUGUGGCAGUGAUUUCGCUGGGAGUGAACAGCACCAGAAGCAGAGCCAGGGCAGCUCCCUGUCUGAUAACUCAACAAGAUCCGCCCAGAGUAGUGAGUGCUCAGAGGUGGGACUGCGGCUUCAGCCAAACACAUCCUUUUGGAUCAAUCCUCUCUGCAGAGACAGGCCCUUCAUUAGGAGUCAUAGCUUUAGAUUCCAUAAGGAGGAGAAAUUGAUGAAGAUCUGUAAGAUUAAAAAUCUUUCAAGCUCUUCAGAAAUAGGGCAGGCAGCAUGGGUCAAAGCAAAAAUGCUAACCAAAGACAGGAGAUUCUCAAAGAAAAAGAAGAAUACUCAAGGACUCCAGGUGCCAAUCAUAACAGUCAAUGCUUGCUCUCAGAAUGACCAACUGAAUCCAGAGCCAGGAGAAAACAGCAUCUCUGAAGAGAAAUACAGCCAGAACUGGCUCACAGUGUCCAAAUUAAGUCAGACAAGUGUAGAACCUUAUAUACAUCAGAAAAUGAAAAUUAAAGACAUUGGACAAUGUGCUGUACAAGUCAGUGAUCACCUAAAGCAGUCUCAAGAGGAUCUCAGCAAAAACUCUUUGUGGAAUUCCAGGAGCACCACCCUCAAUAGGAACUCCCUGCUGAAAAGUUCAAAUGGAGUUGACAAGAUCUCAGCCUCCUUAAAAAGCCCUCAAGAGCCUCACCAUUAUUCAGCCAUUGAAAGGAAUAAUUUAAUGAGGCUUUCUCAGACCAUACCAUUUACACCAAUCCAACUGUUUGCAGGAGAAGAAAUAACUGUCUACAGGUUGGAGGAGAGUUCCCCUUUAAACCUUGAUAUAAGCGUGUCCUCCUGGUCUCAGCGUGGGAGAGCUGCAAUGAUCCAGGUGUUGUCCCGAGAGGAGAUGGAUGGGGGCCUACGUAAAGCUAUGAGAGUCGUCAGCACUUGGUCUGAGGAUAACAUUCUGAAGCCGGGACAGGUUUUCAUUGUCAAGUCCUUUCUUCCUGAGGUUGUGCGGACAUGGUGUAAGAUCUUCCAGGAGAGCACUGUGCUUCAUCUUUGCCUCAGGGAAAUUCAGCAACAGAGAGCUGCUCAGAAAUUGAUCUAUACCUUCAACCAAGUGAAACCACAAACCAUUCCCUACACACCAAGGUUCCUGGAAGUUUUCUUAAUCUAUUGCCAUUCAGCCAACCAGUGGUUGACCAUUGAGAAGUAUAUGACAGGGGAGUUCCGGAAGUAUAACAACAACAACGGUGAUGAAAUCACCCCCACCAACACCCUGGAGGAGCUGAUGUUGGCUUUCUCUCACUGGACCUAUGAGUACACUCGGGGAGAGCUGCUGGUUUUAGAUUUGCAAGGUGUUGGAGAAAAUUUGACAGAUCCAUCUGUUAUAAAACCUGAAGUCAAACAAUCAAGAGGAAUGGUGUUUGGACCGGCCAAUUUGGGGGAAGAUGCAAUUAGAAACUUCAUUGCAAAACAUCAUUGCAACUCCUGCUGCCGGAAGCUCAAACUCCCGGAUUUAAAAAGAAAUGACUAUUCCCCUGAAGGGAUAAAUUCCACCUUUGGAUUUGAUAUAAAAAUAGAAUCAGCUGAGGAGCCUCCAGCAACUAUGAAAAGGGAGGAGCAAGAAGAUCCCAGUGCCCGCCCUACCUGCCAAGAACUCUGUGAUAACAAAGAUUGAUCGACGUGACAUUGAUUACAUCAGCGCCUCCUUGGGACACACCUUCUGAGCCUCACCUCUCCUCCUACCCAAAGGCCUCAUUGGUAUAUGAUCAGUGGGUUCUCCUAGAUACUGACCUCUGUCCAGGGCACUUGGCAGCUCCAUCCUCAAGUUCCACAUGAAGACACUUGGAUGAGCCAGCUGGGAAUAUUGUUCUUGUAUACCUCAUUGCUUUAGCUGACCACUUGGAACCUUGGAGCAGAAUGCUGCACAUUAAAAAAGGAUGGGGUGGUGGGGAUGAAUUUAGUUUAUUUUCUCACUUUGUGUGCAGACUGGACCCCCUACUGCUAUUUGUCACCUCACCCACAGACUGUCUUUAUGUCUAUAUAUAUGUACAUAAAAAGUUAUGUGACUUCCUCUUCUGUUUUUUCCACAGCAUAGGACUUUGAAUAGCAGUGAUAGGAAAAACAAUGGAAUGAGGGUGGAUUUGCACAGAUUGGAGCACAAACUAACCAAGUAUCCUGGUGAAAUCUAGUGCUGAAAUGGAGAUGAAGAUACUUACCUUUUCAAAUGAAGGUCACAGGACUUCAGGAUGCUUUGGUGACCAAAAGAAACCCUCGGUAUGUUGCCGUGUUUUACAAUUCCCUCGUCACCCUGGAAAUUUUGUUGAUAAGGACUUGGGGAGCAGAGGUGCUGGUAAAUACAAUGGAGAGGAGGAGAAAUGAUUACCAGGUGUGUGCAUCUGCUAUGGGUGAGGUUAGAGAGUUGUCGUGGAUGGUAGCAGGAUUGGUGAAUUAUUUUCCUGAGAAAGUAGGGGAGUGGUGUGUUCUGGAAGAUCACAUGUAUAUUGCAGAUGAAAACAAAUAUGGGCUGGGCUUCUUGGGAUGGGAUGUUUGCCUACCAUGAAAGGGCUUCUGGGGAUGUCUUACAAGAUAGGGAGGAAAGAAGUUUUGUGGAAUUGUUUGGUGUAUAUCCUACUUAAGAAAUAAUUUUUGAGUAUUACGGCAUUUAUGCACUGACACUAAGAUUAAACUUACUAGAUAAGACCCACUUCUGUCUUUAGGGAUCUCUAAAACAAAUAAGGGGUUUACAAUAUGCUGAUUCAUCAUUUCUCAGCCAUGAUCAUUAUAAUGACAACUUGUUAUUAUUGUAGGUAAUACGUAUUGAGCAGUCAUUGUGUCUUGGGCAUUGUGCUAAAUGUGCACUGUACAUAAUUUCAUUUAAUCUGAACAAUGACUUCAUGGGCUAGGUCUAUUAUUCUCAUUAUAAAUAUUUAAAAAUACUGCUUAUGAAUUAAGUAACUUGACUAAAUCAGCUACCAAAGGGAGAGCUGGGAUUUGAAGCUAGAUCAAAUCAAUGACAUAAAAGUCUAUGCAGUGCUAGCCAGGACACUUAAGAGUACUACAGCAUGAAUCCCUAUGAUGGAUUGAAAGAUAGAUUUAAAAAUAAGGGCCUAACUUAGGCCAUCAGAAGAGAGAAACAAAAUGAAUUCUACAGAAUGUUUCCUGAUGUGUUCUCUGCUCCUGCCAUGUUAAUAAAAUUUUUCUCGCAUAGUUAAUGGCAAUCUGCGGACCCCGCGAGUCCAUGGGAAAGCCAGUCAUGAGGGAAUGGGUGGGUUCUUCUGAGUCUGGCACCGUCAGCUGGUGAAUUUUUCUGCCUCUAUUUGAAUGUCUGUCCCUCCCCUCCUUUUUUUUGGCCCCUUAGACAAUUUGUUGGUCAAUACAACAAUACUUACCAUUUGAAAGCAUUUAGUGACAUGCAGCAUAUCAAAUUUAUAGUGAAAAAUAGAACCUAUGCAAGUUACAAAACUUUUAUCAGCCUGACCAUCACACUGCGUCCCUGGAGGCUGUGGAAGCUGGAUUAUAAUCAAGAGGUUGCUUGAAGUGCAUGGAAUCAGAACAAAGAGAGGUAGAUAAAUCAAAUUUUUAAUGGUAUCAGGCUAAGACAUCCUGUUUCAUCUCAUCUACUCUGGAGGGAUGGGCCUGCCAGUGGGAGUGGAAUACUCGAAGUCUGAAAUACUUCAGACUGAUUCCAAAGGAUGCAACAGAAUUUCAAGCAACUCUUAGAUCAGUUUUGAGAAACAUGAACCAUGUUGAAAAAAUAUUUAUUUUCUCUUUUUCCAUUCUCUCCCACCUUCUUCCCUCUCUCUCACAUUCUGUCUCUUUUUUUUCUCUUUCUCCUCCUUCCUUCUUUAUUCCUUUUUUCUUUCUCUGAUUCCCUCUUUAUGUUACCUGUUUUUACACUACACUAGCUGCAAAUGUGGAUCAACAAACAUCACUGAUUUUAUGAGAUAGCAAUUUUCCCAGAAAUGUAAAAUUAGAAAAUGUGAGAGCUAAAAAAAUAAGAACAAUUAAAUCUAAAGAAACUGUGCUUCACUCAAAGUUAAUAACUAUUGUUAGAAGAGAGACUAGAACUCAGGCCUCCUAAGUCACCCUUAUUUAGUCUGGUAAUGGCCACAUUUGUAUGUUAAAGCAAAUAAUUUCCUCUUGUAUUGAAAUUUUUGUCUUUCUAAAAAAUAUUCAGAUAUGUAUACAGUUAAAUUUUAAACUUGGAAAUCUUUGUAAGACUGUGAUUAAGAUGGACCAACUGAGAUUUUAAUUGUCUAUGUGUUUUAAUGAGGAUAAUUCAUUAGAUAUGUGACUUUAGAACUCUAGUUGCAAAAUAUUACAAAUUAAUGACUUUUACCAA